UUUCCGUAGGUGAACCUGCGGAAGGAUCAUUAAUGAGAACUAAGGGUAGUAAUCUCGGCUAUUACUCUGAACACUCCACCCUUUGUUUAUAUUACCUUUGUUGCUUUAGCAGGCCCGCUCUCGAGCCGCCGGCACCUGCUGGCUAGUGCUUGCUAAAGAACCUAAAACUCUUGUUAAUAAUAUUGUCUGAGUACUAUAUAAUAGUUAAAACUUUCAACAACGGAUCUCUUGGUUCUG
This 237-nucleotide unclassified non-coding RNA is filed under the name plant metagenome. RNAcentral's name for it is "partial contains small subunit ribosomal RNA, internal transcribed spacer 1, and 5.8S ribosomal RNA". The record is from RNAcentral.